This 595-nucleotide ribosomal RNA is filed under the name uncultured bacterium. Its description in RNAcentral is "bacterial SSU rRNA". It matches the Rfam family "Bacterial small subunit ribosomal RNA", at positions 915 to 1509 of the family's 1533-position model. The record is from RNAcentral.
GGGGGCCCGCACAAGCGGCGGAGCAUGCGGAUUAAUUCGAUGCAACGCGAAGAACCUUACCUGGGUUUGACAUGGCUUCUAAAGCCGCAGAGAUGUGGUGUCCUUCGGGGGGAGUCACAGGUGGUGCAUGGCUGUCGUCAGCUCGUGUCGUGAGAUGUUGGGUUAAGUCCCGCAACGAGCGCAACCCUCGUUCCAUGUUGCCAGCACGUUAUGGUGGGGACUCAUGGGAGACUGCCGGGGUCAACUCGGAGGAAGGUGGGGAUGACGUCAAGUCAUCAUGCCCCUUAUGUCCAGGGCUUCACGCAUGCUACAAUGGCCGGUACAAUGGGCUGCGAUACCGUGAGGUGGAGCGAAUCCCAAAAAGCCGGUCUCAGUUCGGAUCGGGGUCUGCAACUCGACCCCGUGAAGUCGGAGUCGCUAGUAAUCGCAGAUCAGCGACGCUGCGGUGAAUACGUUCCCGGGCCUUGUACACACCGCCCGUCACACCACGAAAGCCGGGAACACCCGAAGCCGGUGGCCUAACCCGCAAGGGAGGGAGCCGUCGAAGGUGGGUUCGGUGAUUGGGGUGAAGUCGUAACAAGGUAACCGUAAGGGC